UGAGCAAUCUGCCCUUCUCUUCGGAAUAAGCGUUGGAAACGACGUCUAAUGCCGAAUACGACCUCCUUUCGCAUGAUCGGAGGUGGAAAGCUCCGGCGGAGAAGGAUGAGCUCGCGGCCUAUCAGCUAGUUGGUGUGGGUAAUGGCUCACCAAGGCGACGACGGGUAGCCGGCCUGAGAGGGCGAUUGGCCACACUGGGACUGAGACACGGCCCAGACCUCUACGGGAGG
Molecule: ribosomal RNA, 230 nt
Filed under: uncultured bacterium
Lineage: Bacteria
Description: partial 16S ribosomal RNA
Rfam family: Bacterial small subunit ribosomal RNA
Source: RNAcentral